GUGCGAAGACGAAAGUCCGAGCGC
Molecule: unclassified non-coding RNA, 24 nt
Filed under: Neurospora
Lineage: Eukaryota; Fungi; Ascomycota; Sordariomycetes; Sordariales; Sordariaceae
Description: RNA (5'-R(*GP*UP*GP*CP*GP*AP*AP*GP*AP*CP*GP*AP*AP* AP*GP*UP*CP*CP*GP*AP*GP*CP*GP... from Neurospora (PDB 1E4P, chain A)
Source: RNAcentral